RNAcentral lists this long non-coding RNA (262 nucleotides) under Phaseolus vulgaris (common bean). RNAcentral's name for it is "long non-coding RNA (PVUL_LNC003610)". The record is from RNAcentral. Lineage: Eukaryota; Viridiplantae; Streptophyta; Magnoliopsida; Fabales; Fabaceae.
CGCGAUCCUACCAUCCUGGAGGGCUUUCCCCUAUACUGGACGGAUAAGCCCAUAACCAUGAAGGCCUUGGCUUUGGAUGAGCUUACCCCCUCCGACCGGGAUGUGUGCAAAGCCUUGGCGGGACUGGGGAUAGUCUUCGAUACCGCCAAACUCAUCGCGAACGAAUUCAACGCCCAUGGGCUUUCUACCUACUUCGGUAUCUGCCCUUGAUUGUCUAUGACACAUUAGUUGUUGUGGCUAUCUGCGUGUGUUUGGCCAUAGA